AGUGAACGCUGGCGGUAGGCCUAACACAUGCAAGUCGAACGGCAGCACAGUAAGAGCUUGCUCUUACGGGUGGCGAGUGGCGGACGGGUGAGGAAUACAUCGGAAUCUACUUUUUCGUGGGGGAUAACGUAGGGAAACUUACGCUAAUACCGCAUACGACCUACGGGUGAAAGCAGGGGAUCUUCGGACCUUGCGCGAUUGAAUGAGCCGAUGUCGGAUUAGCUAGUUGGCGGGGUAAAGGCCCACCAAGGCGACGAUCCGUAGCUGGUCUGAGAGGAUGAUCAGCCACACUGGAACUGAGACACGGUCCAGACGCCUACGGGAGGCAGCAGUGGGGAAUAUUGGACAGUGGGCGCAAGCCUGAUCCAGUCAUACCGCGUGGGUGAAGAAGGCCUUCGGGUUGUAAAGCCCUUUUGUUGGGAAAGAAAAGCAGCAGGUUAAUACCCCGCUGUUCUGACGGUACCCAAAGAAUAAGCACCGGCUAACUUCGUG
Molecule: ribosomal RNA, 492 nt
Filed under: uncultured bacterium
Lineage: Bacteria
Description: partial 16S ribosomal RNA
Rfam family: Bacterial small subunit ribosomal RNA
Source: RNAcentral